This 660-nucleotide ribosomal RNA is filed under the name Hepatozoon canis. RNAcentral describes it as "bacterial SSU rRNA". It matches the Rfam family "Eukaryotic small subunit ribosomal RNA", at positions 170 to 818 of the family's 1831-position model. The record is from RNAcentral. Lineage: Eukaryota; Apicomplexa; Hepatozoidae.
CAUGAGCAAAAUCUCAACUUUAUUAGAAGAGACGCAUUUAUUAGAUAAAAAGCCAGUUCAUGCUUUUACAGUAUGAAAAUUGGUGAUUUAUAAUAACUUAGCAAAUCGCAAAGUGAAAACAGGCGAUAAAUCAUUCAAGUUUCUGACCUAUCAGCUUUCGACGGUAUGGUAUUGGCUUACCGUGGCAGUGACGGUUAACGGGGGAUUAGGGUUCGAUUCCGGAGAGGGAGCCUGAGAAACGGCUACCACAUCUAAGGAAGGCAGCAGGCGCGCAAAUUACCCAAUUCUAACAGUUUGAGAGAGGUAGUAACAAGAAAUAACAAUACAAGGCAGUUAAAAUGCUUUGUAAUUGGAAUGAUAGAAAUUUAAACCCUUUUUAAAGUAUCAAUUGGAGGGCAAGUCUGGUGCCAGCAGCCGCGGUAAUUCCAGCUCCAAUAGCGUAUAUUAAAAUUGUUGCAGUUAAAAAGCUCGUAGUUGAAGUUCUGCUGAAAGUAACCGGUCUGCUUUUAAUAAAAGUGGUAUCUUGGUAUGUAUUUAGCAAUGAUGUCCUUUGAAGUGUUUUUUACUUUAUUGUAAUAAAGCAUAUUCAGGACUUUUACUUUGAGAAAAUUAGAGUGUUUCUAGCAGGCUGACGCUUUGAAUACUGCAGCAUGGAAUAAU